Molecule: small nuclear RNA, 303 nt
Filed under: Dasypus novemcinctus (nine-banded armadillo)
Lineage: Eukaryota; Metazoa; Chordata; Mammalia; Cingulata; Dasypodidae
Description: 7SK RNA (ENSDNOG00000038312.1)
Rfam family: 7SK RNA
About the family: 7SK was discovered as an abundant small nuclear RNA in the mid-70s but a possible function has only recently been suggested.
Source: RNAcentral
GGAUUUGAGGGUGAUCUGGCUGCAACAUCUGUCACCCCAUCGAUUGCCAGGGUUGAUUCGGCUGAUCUGGAUGGCUAGGCAGGUGUCCCUUCCCUCCCUCACUGCUCCAUGUGCAUCCCUCCUGAAGCUGCACGCUCAAAGAGGAUGACCUUCCCCGCUAGAGGAGGACCUUUUCGGUCAAGGGUAUGCGAGUACCUGCGCUCCCCUGCUAGAAUCUCCAAACAAGCUCUCAAGUAAAGGGAUAGGAGAGUCUUGUGUGGCCAGGGUCACUAUUAUCCUUAUAAGGGAUUUUGUCCUUUUCAG